GGGCCCGCACAAGCGGUGGAGCAUGUGGUUUAAUUCGAUGAUACGCGAGGAACCUUACCAGGGCUUAAAUGUAGUCUGACAGGGUGGAACACCCCCUCCUUCGGGCAGAUUACAAGGUGCUGCAUGGUUGUCGUCAGCUCGUGCCGUGAGGUGUCAGGUUAAGUCCUAUAACGAGCGCAACCCCUGCCGUUAGUUGCCAGCAUGUAAUGAUGGGAACUCUAACGGGACUGCCGGUGCAAACCGCGAGGAAGGUGGGGAUGACGUCAAAUCAUCACGGCCCUUACGUCCUGGGCUACACACGUGCUACAAUGGCCGGUACAGAGGGCAGCCACACCGCAAGGUGGAGCGAAUCUUCAAAGCCGGUCUCAGUUCGGAUCGCAGUCUGCAACUCGACUGCGUGAAGCUGGAAUC
RNAcentral lists this ribosomal RNA (411 nucleotides) under uncultured bacterium. RNAcentral describes it as "bacterial SSU rRNA". It matches the Rfam family "Bacterial small subunit ribosomal RNA", at positions 917 to 1333 of the family's 1533-position model. The record is from RNAcentral.